CGAAAGCCUGACGGAGCGACGCCGCGUGGAGGACGAAGCCCUUCGGGGUGUAAACUCCUUUCAGGGACUACCAAGCAAGGAAGGCUAAUACCCUUUUGCGUUGAGGAAUCCCAGAAGAAGCCACGGCUAACUUCGUGCCAGCAGCCGCGGUAAGACGAAGGUGGCGAGCGUUGUUCGGAAUCACUGGGCUUAAAGGGCAUGUAGGCGGCCCAUCAAGCGUGCUGUGAAAUCCCUCGGCUUAACCGAGGAAUUGCGGUGCGAACUGAUCGGGCUUGAGGCAGGUAGGGGCAAGUGGAACUCUUGGUGGAGCGGUGGAAUGCGUAGAUAUCAAGAGGAACGCCGGAGGCGAAGGCGACUUGCUGGGCCUGUCCUGACGCUGAGAUGCGAAAGCCAGGGGAGCG
This 401-nucleotide ribosomal RNA is filed under the name uncultured bacterium. Its description in RNAcentral is "bacterial SSU rRNA". It matches the Rfam family "Bacterial small subunit ribosomal RNA", at positions 376 to 770 of the family's 1533-position model. The record is from RNAcentral.